GCAUUUUUGUGCGAGACAAACCUGAAGCAAAAUAAUGACAUUACUGUGCCAGUCAAAUUUAAUCCAAAAUACUACACUUUGAAGACGUUUACCGUAGAAGUUACAGACUAUGGCUGACAUUAAUGGUGAAAUGCACCAAGUUCAAGGAAAUCAAAGUGCAGGGUACAAAGGCUGACUAGCAAGAUUACCUAACAAGCUAAUGUGCCAUAAUAUCAUUCAUUG
Molecule: unclassified non-coding RNA, 222 nt
Filed under: Hevea brasiliensis (rubber tree)
Lineage: Eukaryota; Viridiplantae; Streptophyta; Magnoliopsida; Malpighiales; Euphorbiaceae
Source: RNAcentral